AACCUGCGGAGGGAUCAUUACUGAGUGAGGGCUAACGCCCGACCUCCCACCCUUUGUGAACACCCUCUGUUGCUUCGGGGGCGACCCUGCCGGCGCUCGCGCGCCGGGCGCCCCCGAAGGUCCUCUUAACACUGCAUUCAUGCGUCGGAGUUUUAAACAAAUAAAACAAAACUUUCAACAACGGAUCUCUUGGUUCUGGCAUCGAUGAAGAACGCAGCGAAAUGCGAUAAGUAAUGUGAAUUGCAGAAUUCAGUGAAUCAUCGAAUCUUUGAACGCACAUUGCGCCCUUUGGUAUUCCGAAGGGCAUGCCUGUUCGAGCGUCAUUUCACCACUCGAGCCUCGCUUGGUAUUGGGCGUCGCGAUGCCGCGCGCCUUAAAGUCUCUGGCUGAGCUGCCUGUCUCCAAGCGUUGUGGAAUUCAACUAUUCGCUUCAGAGUACAGGCGGCCGCGGCCGUUAAAUCUUUCAUUAGGUUGACCUCGGAUCAUGUAGGGAUA
This 495-nucleotide ribosomal RNA is filed under the name Pseudocercospora sp. CBS 113387. RNAcentral's name for it is "eukaryotic LSU rRNA". The stretch from base 170 to 323 matches the Rfam family "5.8S ribosomal RNA". Lineage: Eukaryota; Fungi; Ascomycota; Dothideomycetes; Mycosphaerellales; Mycosphaerellaceae. The record is from RNAcentral.